AGGGGCGUAGCUCAGCGGUAGAGCACCCGGCUCAUAACCGGUCAGGCCCUGGUUCAAAUCCAGGCGCCCCUA
RNAcentral lists this transfer RNA (72 nucleotides) under Thermoleophilia bacterium. RNAcentral describes it as "tRNA-Ile". It matches the Rfam family "tRNA". From Rfam's summary of the family: Transfer RNA (tRNA) molecules are approximately 80 nucleotides in length. Their secondary structure includes four short double-helical elements and three loops (D, anti-codon, and T loops). Further hydrogen bonds mediate the characteristic L-shaped molecular structure. tRNAs have two regions of fundamental functional importance: the anti-codon, which is responsible for specific mRNA codon recognition, and the 3' end, to which the tRNAs corresponding amino acid is attached (by aminoacyl-tRNA synthetases). tRNAs cope with the degeneracy of the genetic code in two manners: having more than one tRNA (with a specific anti-codon) for a particular amino acid; and 'wobble' base-pairing, i.e. permitting non-standard base-pairing at the 3rd anti-codon position. The record is from RNAcentral. Lineage: Bacteria; Bacillati; Actinomycetota; Thermoleophilia.